Molecule: ribosomal RNA, 497 nt
Filed under: uncultured bacterium
Lineage: Bacteria
Description: bacterial SSU rRNA
Rfam family: Bacterial small subunit ribosomal RNA
Source: RNAcentral
AUUGAACGCUGGCGGUAUGCUUAACACAUGCAAGUCGAACGCUGAAGGGUGCUUGCACCUGGAUGAGUGGCGGACGGGUGAGUAAUGCAUAGGAAUCUGCCUAUUAGUGGGGGAUAACGUGGGGAAACUCACGCUAAUACCGCAUACGCUCUACGGAGGAAAGCCGGGGACCUUCGGGCCUGGCGCUAAUAGAUGAGCCUAUGUCGGAUUAGCUAGUUGGUGGGGUAAAGGCCUACCAAGGCGACGAUCCGUAGCUGGUCUGAGAGGAUGAUCAGCCACACUGGGACUGAGACACGGCCCAGACUCCUACGGGAGGCAGCAGUGGGGAAUAUUGGACAAUGGGCGCAAGCCUGAUCCAGCAAUACCGCGUGUGUGAAGAAGGCCUGAGGGUUGUAAAGCACUUUCAAUGGGAAGGAACACCUAUCGGUUAAUACCCGGUAGACUGACAUUACCCAUACAAGAAGCACCGGCUAACUCCGUGCCAGCAGCCGCGGUAA